UUGACCUCGGAUCAGGUAGGAAGACCCGCUGAACUUAAGCAUAUCAAUAAGCGGAGGAAAAGAAACCAACAGGGAUUGCCCUAGUAACGGCGAGUGAAGCGGCAACAGCUCAAAUUUGAAAUCUGGCUUCGGCCCGAGUUGUAAUUUGCAGAGGAAGCUUUAGGCGCGGCACCUUCUGAGUCCCCUGGAACGGGGCGCCAUAGAGGGUGAGAGCCCCGUAUAGUUGGAUGCCUAGCCUGUGUAAAGCUCCUUCGACGAGUCGAGUAGUUUGGGAAUGCUGCUCAAAAUGGGAGGUAAAUUUCUUCUAAAGCUAAAUACCGGCCAGAGACCGAUAGCGCACAAGUAGAGUGAUCGAAAGAUGAAAAGCACUUUGAAAAGAGGGUUAAAUAGCACGUGAAAUUGUUGAAAGGGAAGCGCUUGUGACCAGACUUGCGCCGGGCAGAUCAUCCGGUGUUCUCACCGGUGCACUCUGCCCGGCUCAGGCCAGCAUCGGUUCUCGCGGGGGGAUAAAGGCCCUGGGAACGUAGCUCCUCCGGGAGUGUUAUAGCCCGGGGCGUAAUGCCCUCGCGGGGACCGAGGUUCGCGCAUCUGCAAGGAUGCUGGCGUAAUGGUCAUCAGCGAC
This 622-nucleotide ribosomal RNA is filed under the name Chaetomium elatum. RNAcentral's name for it is "eukaryotic LSU rRNA". It matches the Rfam family "Eukaryotic large subunit ribosomal RNA", at positions 1 to 648 of the family's 3401-position model. RNAcentral also lists the same sequence under 1 other name. The record is from RNAcentral. Lineage: Eukaryota; Fungi; Ascomycota; Sordariomycetes; Sordariales; Chaetomiaceae.